GGCUCAGGAUGACCGCUAGCGGGAGGCUUAACACAUGCAAGUCGAGGGGCAUCACGAGGUAGCAAUACUUUGGUGGCGACCGGCGCACGGGUGAGUAACACGUAUGUAACCUACCCUGUACAGGGGGAUAGCCCGGAGAAAUUCGGAUUAAUACCCCAUGACAAUAUCGGGAGGCAUCUUUUGAUAUUUAAAGUUUCGACGGUACAGGAUGGGCAUGCGCAACAUUAGCUAGUUGGUAGGGUAACGGCCUACCAAGGCUACGAUGUUUAGGGGACCUGAGAGGGUGAUCCCCCACACUGGUACUGAGACACGGACCAGACUCCUACGGGAGGCAGCAGUGAGGAAUAUUGGUCAAUGGGCGUAAGCCUGAACCAGCCAUCCCGCGUGCAGGAAGACGGCGCUAUGCGUUGUAAACUGCUUUUCCAGGGAAAGAAAACCCCCGACGUGUCGGGGCUUGCCGGUACCCUGGGAAUAAGCAUCGGCUAACUCCGUGCCAGCAGCCGCGGUAAUACGGAGGAUGCCAGCGUUAUCCGGAUUUAUUGGGUUUAAAGGGUGCGUAGGCGGGUUAAUAAGUCAGUGGUGAAAACCUUCAGCUUAACUGGAGACUUGCCAUUGAUACUGUUAGUCUUGAGUACGGUCAAGGUAGGCGGAAUGUGUAAUGUAGCGGUGAAAUGCUUAGAUAUUACACAGAACACCGAUUGCGAAGGCAGCUUACUGGACCAAUACUGACGUUGAUGCACGAAAGCGUGGGGAGCGAACAGGAUUAGAUACCCUGGUAGUCCACGCCGUAAACGAUGAUCACUCGCUGUUAGCGAUACACAGUUAGCGGCUAAGCAAAAGCAUUAAGUGAU
Molecule: ribosomal RNA, 851 nt
Filed under: uncultured bacterium
Lineage: Bacteria
Description: bacterial SSU rRNA
Rfam family: Bacterial small subunit ribosomal RNA
Source: RNAcentral